Molecule: unclassified non-coding RNA, 198 nt
Filed under: uncultured Tomentella
Lineage: Eukaryota; Fungi; Basidiomycota; Agaricomycetes; Thelephorales; Thelephoraceae
Description: sequence contains ITS2
Source: RNAcentral
ACACCUCAACUCGCAUGGUUCGCCAUGACGAGCUUGGAUUUUGGAGGCUUUGCCGGCCUGUGGUCGGCUCCUCUCAAAUGAAUCAGCUUACCGGUGUACUGGUGGCAUCACGGGUGUGAUAACUAUCUACGCUUGUGGUCGUCUGCCGAAUUUUCUGGGGCUCAUAAACGUCUCCCGAGUGAAGACAGCCUUCUGAAC